UACGUAGGGUGCAAGCGUUGUCCGGAAUUAUUGGGCGUAAAGAGCUCGUAGGCGGUUCGUCGCGUCGGCUGUGAAAUCCCGGAGCUCAACUCCGGGUCUGCAGUCGAUACGGGCGGACUCGAGUUCGGCAGGGGAGACUGGAAUUCCUGGUGUAGCGGUGAAAUGCGCAGAUAUCAGGAGGAACACCGGUGGCGAAGGCGGGUCUCUGAGCCGAUACUGACGCUGAGGAGCGAAAGCGUGGGGAGCGAACAGG
This 253-nucleotide ribosomal RNA is filed under the name uncultured bacterium. Its description in RNAcentral is "partial 16S ribosomal RNA". It matches the Rfam family "Bacterial small subunit ribosomal RNA", at positions 524 to 776 of the family's 1533-position model. The record is from RNAcentral.